Molecule: ribosomal RNA, 887 nt
Filed under: Trematosphaeria pertusa
Lineage: Eukaryota; Fungi; Ascomycota; Dothideomycetes; Pleosporales; Trematosphaeriaceae
Description: SSU rRNA
Rfam family: Eukaryotic small subunit ribosomal RNA
Source: RNAcentral
ACCUUACUACUUGGAUAACCGUGGUAAUUCUAGAGCUAAUACAUGCUGAAAAGCCCGACUUCGGAAGGGUUGUAUUUAUUAGAUAAAAAACCAAUGCUCUUUGGUGAUUCAUAAUAACUUCUCAGAUCGCACGGCCUUGCGCCGGCGACGGUUCAUUCAAAUUUCUGCCCUAUCAACUUUCGAUGGUACGGUAUUGGCCUACCAUGGUUUCAACGGGUAACAGGGAAUUAGGGUUCGAUUCUGGAGAGCGAGCCUGAGAGACGGCUAGCACAUCCAAGGAAGGCAGCAGGCGCGCAAAUUACUCAAUGCCGACACGGCGAAGUAGUGACAAUAAAUACUGAUACAGGGCUCUUUUGGGUCUUGUAAUUGGAAUGAGUACAAUUUAAACCUCUUAACGAGGAACAAUUGGAGGGCAAGUCUGGUGGAUCCUGUCUGCUGACGCCAGCAAUAGCCGGGCAUUUCUCAGCGAGAGUGCAAAGCCGGGCUCGUAGUUGAACCUUUGGCCUGGCUGGCAGGUCCGCCUCACCGCGUGCACUUGACCGGCCGGGCCUUCUUCUCUGGAGAACCGCAUGCCCUUCACUGUGGUGUGCUGGGGACCAGGACUUUUACUUUGAAAAAAUUAGAGUGUUCAAAGCAGGCCUUUGCUCGAAUACGUUAGCAUGGAAUAAUAAAAUAGGACGGCAGUUCUAUUUUGUUGGUUUCUAGGACCGCCGUAAUGAUUAAUAGGGACAGUCGGGGGCGUCAGUAUUCAAUUGUCAGAGGUGAAAUUCUUGGAUCAAUUGAAGACUAACUACUGCGAAAGCAUUCGCCAAGGAUGUUUUCAUUAAUCAGUGAACGAAAGUUAGGGGAUCGAAGACGAUCAGAUACCGUCGUAGUCUUAACCAUAA